GACGAACGCUGGCGGCGUGCUUAACACAUGCAAGUCGAACGGAAAGGCCCUGCUUGCAGGGUACUCGAGUGGCGAACGGGUGAGUAACACGUGGGUGAUCUGCCCUGCACUUCGGGAUAAGCCUGGGAAACUGGGUCUAAUACCGGAUAGGAGCCAUUUUUUGUGUGAUGGUUGGAAAGUUUUUUCGGUGUAGGAUGAGCUCGCGGCCUAUCAGCUUGUUGGUGGGGUAAUGGCCUACCAAGGCGGCGACGGGUAGCCGGCCUGAGAGGGUGGACGGCCACAUUGGGACUGAGAUACGGCCCAGACGCCUACGGGAGGCAGCAGUGGGGAAGAUUGCACAAUGGGCGCAAGCCGGAUGCAGCGACGCCGCGGGGGGGAUGACGGCCUUCUGGUUGUAGACUCCUUUCGCGAGGGACGAAGCUUUUUGUGACGGUACCUAGAUAAGAAGCACCGGCUAACUACGUG
RNAcentral lists this ribosomal RNA (465 nucleotides) under uncultured bacterium. Its description in RNAcentral is "partial 16S ribosomal RNA". It matches the Rfam family "Bacterial small subunit ribosomal RNA", at positions 28 to 507 of the family's 1533-position model. The record is from RNAcentral.